Molecule: small RNA, 570 nt
Filed under: Caldanaerobacter subterraneus subsp. tengcongensis MB4
Lineage: Bacteria; Bacillati; Bacillota; Clostridia; Thermoanaerobacterales; Thermoanaerobacteraceae
Also listed under: 1 other name
Source: RNAcentral
UGAAAAGAUAGGCGAAGUGGUGCAGUAUCCUAGUCAGAGGUGCCAAUCCUGAAGACGGGCCUAAAAACCCGUCAAGGGCACAUCGAUGAAGUUCCUGGUGCUGGCUUCUGACGCCCAGUUGGGGGCUGGUGCUGGGAGUUAAGGAGGGGGGGCGAUCCACAAGGGCAUGUGGGCGUUGACCCUUCCUCCGCGGAGACCUACUGCUGUGGCUCUCUUCGAGAGCUAUGGGGUAGGCAGAACCUGUCUCGUGGCCAGCAAGCUGCGGACAGUGUAGCCCGCCUUGAGUGAUCCGGGGGGAAAUCAGCCAUUGGCUGAUGAAACCCGGGUUGCAAAAGAGGCUAGGGAUUGGGCCCUCUGGUGAGGAAAGCUCCUAGGCUGUGCCCGAAAGGGCGGCAUAUUGGGGAUUACAGUGCGGUCUAAGUGGCAGUCCAGUCCUGCCUAUGGCGACAAGGCAGAAGCGGGCUUAAAGGGGAACCGCUGAACGGCGACGUUCAGUGCCUGCUUGGGAAAUCCUACUGGACCUAAGCCGCAAGGUUUACCCAAUAUGCUACCACUUCGCCUUUUUCUAGG